UACGUCGGGCGCAAGCGUUAUCCGGAAUUACUGGGCGUAAAGGGCGCGUAGGCGGCCGAUCAAGUCAGAUGUGAAAGUCCUGGGCUUAACCUGGGGACUGCAUUUGAUACUGAUUGGCUUGAAUUCGGGAGAGGAUAGCGGAAUUCCCAGUGUAGAGGUGAAAUUCGUAGAUAUUGGGAAGAACACCGGUGGCGAAGGCGGCUAUCUGGACCGACAUUGACGCUGAGGCGCGAAAGCGUGGGGAGCAAACAGG
Molecule: ribosomal RNA, 253 nt
Filed under: uncultured bacterium
Lineage: Bacteria
Description: partial 16S ribosomal RNA
Rfam family: Bacterial small subunit ribosomal RNA
Source: RNAcentral